This 375-nucleotide long non-coding RNA is filed under the name Rattus norvegicus (Norway rat). RNAcentral's name for it is "long non-coding RNA NONRATT016820". The record is from RNAcentral. Lineage: Eukaryota; Metazoa; Chordata; Mammalia; Rodentia; Muridae.
GCUGUGGCCGCACAUGCCCUGGCCUUACAUGGCAGAAGGAGCAUGAGUGGAGAUAGCUUACACCUCAGGAAUCACACACAGCAUCCUACAUUUGGCCGUAUUUUCCCUUCAAAAGAAGCACUGAGAGGGAAAAACUGAUUUACAUGGAAGGACUGAAGAGGCAUCGGAUCAGCAGUAAAAGCUGUUCUUGCAGAGGACCGGAGUUGUGUUCCCAGCAUCUACAGGGUGGCUCAAAAAUCACCUGUAACUCCAGUCUCAGGGGACCUGAUGCCUUCCUCUGACCUCUUUAGGCACAAGACAUAUAUGUGAUACAUAGAUGUAUAUUCAGGAAAAACACUCAUACAUGCAAAAAUAAAAACAAAUUAUCAAAACAUG